RNAcentral lists this unclassified non-coding RNA (381 nucleotides) under uncultured bacterium. RNAcentral describes it as "contains 16S-23S intergenic spacer region". The record is from RNAcentral.
UCCGGCUUGUCACCGGCGGUUUCCCCAGAGUGCCCAGCGUUACCUGCUGGCAACUGAGGAUGGGGGUUGCGCUCGUUGCGGGACUUAACCCAACAUCUCACGACACGAGCUGACGACAGCCAUGCAGCACCUAACCACAGGUUCCCCGAAGGGCACCCCGAUCUUUCAACCAGGCUCCUGUGUUUUCUAGCCCAGGUAAGGUUCUGCGCGUUGCGUCGAAUUGAACCACAUGCUCCACCGCUUGUGCGGGCCCCCGUCAAUUCCUUUGAGUUUCAGCCUUGCGGCCGUACUCCCCAGGCGGGGCACUUACUGCGUUAGCGACGGCACUCAGAGGGUCGCUCCCCCAAGCACCUAGUGCCCAUCGUUUACGGCGUGGACUAC